Molecule: ribosomal RNA, 450 nt
Filed under: uncultured Glomus
Lineage: Eukaryota; Fungi; Glomeromycota; Glomeromycetes; Glomerales; Glomeraceae
Also listed under: 1 other name
Description: SSU rRNA
Rfam family: Eukaryotic small subunit ribosomal RNA
Source: RNAcentral
AGCAGCCGCGGUAAUUCCAGCUCCAAUAGCGUAUAUUAAAGUUGUUGCAGUUAAAAAGCUCGUAGUUGAAUUUCGGGGUUAGUAGGUUGGUCAUGCCUCUGGUAUGUACUGGUCUCACUGAUUCCUCCUUCCUUAUGAACCGUAAUGCCAUUAAUUUGGUGUUGCGGGGAAUUUGGACUGUUACUUUGAAAAAUUAGAGUGUUUAAAGCAAGCUAACGCUUGAAUACAUUAGCAUGGAAUAAUGAAAUAGGACGUUCGAUCUUAUUUUGUUGGUUUCUAGGAUUGACGUAAUGAUUAAUAGGGAUAGUUGGGGGCAUUAGUAUUCAAUUGUCAGAGGUGAAAUUCUUGGAUUUAUUGAAGACUAACUACUGCGAAAGCAUUUGCCAAGGAUGUUUUCAUUAAUCAAGAACGAAAGUUAGGGGAUCGAAGACGAUCAGAUACCGUCGUAGU